GUAGGUGGCAAGCGUUGUCCGGAAUUAUUGGGCGUAAAGCGCGCGCAGGUGGUUCUUUAAGUCUGAUGUGAAAGCCCCCCGGCUCAACCGGGGAGGGUCAUUGGAAACUGGGGAACUUGAGUGCAGGAGAGGAAAGUGGAAUUCCACGUGCAGCGGUGAAAUGCGUAGAUAUGUGGAGGAACACCAGUGGCGAAGGCGACUUUCUGGCCUGUAACUGACACUGAGGCGCGAAAGCGUGGGGAGCAAACAGGGAUUAGAUACCCUGGUAGUCCACGCCGUAAACGAUGAGUGCUAAGUGUUGGGGGGGUUUCCCGCCCCUCAGUGCUGCAGCUAACGCAUUAAGCACUCCGCCUGGGGAUACGGUCGCAAGACUG
This 374-nucleotide ribosomal RNA is filed under the name uncultured organism. Its description in RNAcentral is "partial 16S ribosomal RNA". It matches the Rfam family "Bacterial small subunit ribosomal RNA", at positions 527 to 896 of the family's 1533-position model. The record is from RNAcentral.